GAGGUUAGAUGGAACAAGUGUACUGGGUGGAGGAUAGAUGGAACAGGUGUAGAGGGUGGAGGUUAGAGGGAACAGGUGUACUGGGUGGAGGUUAGAGGGAACAGGAUGAGGAUGAGGAUGAGGACGAGGACGAGGAUGAGGAUGAGGACGAGGAUGAGGAUGAGGAUGAGGAUGAAGGUUGCCUGACGGGACAGAGAUCUGUGAAGGAGUGUACUUACAGUUCUCUCCAGUCCAUUGUCUCUUCUCAGAGUUCAUAACAGCAAACAGACGACUGAGGUUUAUUUUUCCCGACGCUUAUCUGUUCACGUUUACACUUUCGGUCCAUGCUUUCCUGCAGGUCGGAGGAAGUGGAUGAGAGGCGAGUGACGGAGGCACCGGGGUUCCCGAAGAUGGGGAUUUCAUUCGAGAUUCUGGAUUUGAAGCAAAUAAGAAGCUCGGAUAUACGUAGGGAAAGGACGACGAAGCAGGAAUGACGGUAAGAUGUCAGAAAAGCUGGCGAAAGCGAGCCGGGAAAAGUUUCCUGGCACGGAAAGCAAAUCCCACAGACUCGGCUCAUAGAGAUGCACCAUUCCUGGAAAACUCCAAGGUAAAGAUUUCUUCUUUAUCGCUGUGCACUUCUGGAAAUCACUUCCUCUCACGGAAAACCAAAUUAUCCAUCCACGAUCUACGCCAAAGUCCGAAAAGAAUUCCGAAGAUUCACUUUCUUUUCCUUCUUCUAUUCGUGUCAGUUCCUCUUUUGCGGUUGUUCCCAACUGGGGCGCGUCUUCCUCUCGUCACUCAACUCCACACCUUAACCUUGUUCUGCACUGCACUCUCUCCCGCUCUCUGUGCUUCUCUCUCUUCCUUAGAGCAAAGGAUGACGAGAGUCCGGGAUCAGGCAAGAGGGGCGGAAUACCGUCGGGAAUUCAUCGGGAGAUUGAAUCGGACGCGAUUCUUGCUCCCCCUGUUGCUGGGAAACCCUGGCAGAAGUCCAAUGGUCCCUCCUUUCCUCUCUUCUCUCCUCUCCACGUCUCUCUCUCAAUCUAUG
Molecule: long non-coding RNA, 1027 nt
Organism: Ictalurus punctatus (channel catfish)
Lineage: Eukaryota; Metazoa; Chordata; Actinopteri; Siluriformes; Ictaluridae
Source: Ensembl